RNAcentral lists this ribosomal RNA (541 nucleotides) under uncultured eukaryote. RNAcentral's name for it is "SSU rRNA". It matches the Rfam family "Eukaryotic small subunit ribosomal RNA", at positions 202 to 746 of the family's 1831-position model. The record is from RNAcentral.
UGUAUUUAUUAGAUACAAAACCAAUGCCCUUCGGGGCUCCUUUGGUGAUUCAUGAUAACUUCUCGAAUCGCACGGCCCCGCGCCGGCGAUGGUUCAUUCAAAUUUCUUCCCUAUCAACUUUCGAUGCUACGGUAGUGUCCUAGCAUGGUUGCAACGGGUGACGGAGGGUUAGGGCUCGACCCCGGAGAAGGAGCCUGAGAAACGGCUACUACAUCCAAGGAAGGCAGCAGGCGCGCAAAUUACCCAAUCCCGAUACGGGGAGGUAGUGACGAUAAAUACCGAUACAGGGCUCUUUAGGGUCCUGUAAUUGGAAUGAGUACAAUUCAAAUCCCUUAACGAGGAACAAUUGGAGGGCAAGUCUGGUGCCAGCAGCCGCGGUAAUUCCAGCUCCAAUAGCGUAUAUUAAAGUUGUUGCAGUUAAAAAGCUCGUAGUUGAAACUUGGGCCUGGCUGGCGGGUCCGCCUCACCGCGUGCACUCGUCCGGCCGGGCCUUCCUUCUGAAGAACCUCAUGCCCUUCACUGGGCGUGCUGGGGAACCAGG